RNAcentral lists this ribosomal RNA (348 nucleotides) under uncultured bacterium. RNAcentral describes it as "partial 16S ribosomal RNA". It matches the Rfam family "Bacterial small subunit ribosomal RNA", at positions 338 to 697 of the family's 1533-position model. The record is from RNAcentral.
CCUACGGGUGGCAGCAGUCGAGAAUCAUUCACAAUGGGGGAAACCCUGAUGGUGCGACGCCGCGUGGGGGAAUGAAGGUCUUCGGAUUGUAAACUCCUGUCAUGUGGGAGCAAAUUAAAAAGAUAGUACCACAAGAGGAAGAGACGGCUAACUCGGUGCCAGCAGCAGCGGUAAUACAGAGGUCUCAAGCGUUGUUCGGAAUUACUGGGCGUAAAGCGUGCGUAGGCUGUCUCGUAAGUCGUGUGUGAAAGGCGGGGGCUCAACCCGCGGACGGCACAUGAUACUGCUAGACUAGAGAGAUGGAGGGGGAAGCGGAAUGUUAGGUGUAGCAGUGAAAUGCGUAGAUAU